RNAcentral lists this ribosomal RNA (492 nucleotides) under uncultured bacterium. Its description in RNAcentral is "partial 16S ribosomal RNA". It matches the Rfam family "Bacterial small subunit ribosomal RNA", at positions 29 to 507 of the family's 1533-position model. The record is from RNAcentral.
AGUGAACGCUGGCGGUAGGCCUAACACAUGCAAGUCGAACGGCAGCACAGUAAGAGCUUGCUCUUACGGGUGGCGAGUGGCGGACGGGUGAGGAAUACAUCGGAAUCUACUUUUUCGUGGGGGAUAACGUAGGGAAACUUACGCUAAUACCGCAUACGACCUACGGGUGAAAGCAGGGGAUCUUCGGACCUUGCGCGAUUGAAUGAGCCGAUGUCGGAUUAGCUAGUUGGCGGGGUAAAGGCCCACCAAGGCGACGAUCCGUAGCUGGUCUGAGAGGAUGAUCAGCCACACUGGAACUGAAACACGGUCCAGACUCCUACGGGAGGCAGCAGUGGGGAAUAUUGGACAAUGGGCGAAAGCCUGAUCCAGCCAUACCGCGUGGGUGAAGAAGGCCUUCGGGUUGUAAAGCCCUUUUGUUGGGAAAGAAAAGCAGCAGGUUAAUACCCCGCUGUUCUGACGGUACCCAAAGAAUAAGCACCGGCUAACUUCGUG